Molecule: ribosomal RNA, 476 nt
Filed under: uncultured bacterium
Lineage: Bacteria
Description: bacterial SSU rRNA
Rfam family: Bacterial small subunit ribosomal RNA
Source: RNAcentral
GGGGGCCCGCAAGCGGUGGAGCAUGUGGUUCAAUUCGACGCAACGCGAAGAACCUUACCUGGGCUCGAAAUGUAGUGGAAUCGGGUGGAAACAUCCGCGUCUCGCAAGAGACUGCUAUAUAGGUGCUGCAUGGCUGUCGUCAGCUCGUGUCGUGAGAUGUUGGGUUAAGUCCCGCAACGAGCGCAACCCUUAUCCCUAGUUGCCAUCGGGUCAAGCCGGGCACUCUAGUGAAACCGCCUGGGAUAACCAGGAGGAAGGUGGGGAUGACGUCAAGUCCUCAUGGCCUUUAUGUCCAGGGCUACACACGUGCUACAAUGGUCGGUACAAACCGUCGCAAACCCGCGAGGGGGAGCUAAUCGGAAAAAGCCGGCCUCAGUUCGGAUUGGAGUCUGCAACCCGACUCCAUGAAGCUGGAAUCGCUAGUAAUCGCGGAUCAGAACGCCGCGGUGAAUACGUUCCCGGGCCUUGUACACACC